CGCACUGACGAGAAAGGGGUGUUCACUACGAAUGUCCAAACUUGAAGACAUUUUCAGUCUUUGAAAGACUUUGGAAUCGUGAAAAAAUACCGUGGACCAUAAAUGCACCACUUAAGAGCACCAGCAUCUGAUGGUUGGUAGAGUGGUAUACGUACAUAUUUGAUACUCAGUGACUUCAGUCUCCCAUUAUAAUAAAUGGAACAGUCCAUAACACCAUAUAAUAAUACCGGACGUCCCGCCCAAGCAUCGAAGGGGGAAGAUAGGAGGUCGAGCACAGAGAGCUGUUAGUUACACAGUUUUGUGUUCACAGGAGUCCUACUUUGAUUAAAAACUGACAAUGCGAGCCAUCAUAUCGGUGCUGGUGCUGAUAGUCGGUGUUUUGGUGAUGCGGCCAUCUACAGCACCACCAUCAUCAUCACCAUCAACAUCAUCACCAUCAGCAACAUCAGCAGCAUCAGCAUCAGCAU
This 467-nucleotide long non-coding RNA is filed under the name Haliotis rubra (blacklip abalone). RNAcentral describes it as "uncharacterized LOC124290305, transcript variant X2". The record is from RNAcentral. Lineage: Eukaryota; Metazoa; Mollusca; Gastropoda; Lepetellida; Haliotidae.